Molecule: ribosomal RNA, 253 nt
Filed under: uncultured bacterium
Lineage: Bacteria
Description: partial 16S ribosomal RNA
Rfam family: Bacterial small subunit ribosomal RNA
Source: RNAcentral
GACAGAGGGUGCGAACGUUGUUCGGAAUUACUGGGCGUAAAGCGCGUGUAGGCGGCAGCGCAAGUCGGGCGUGAAAUCCCACGGCUCAACCGUGGAAGUGCACUUGAAACUGCGCAGCUAGAGUCCUGGAGAGGAAGGUGGAAUGCUUGGUGUAGAGGUGAAAUUCGUAGAUAUCAAGCGGAACACCGGUGGCGAAGGCGGCCUUCUGGACAGUGACUGACGCUGAGACGCGAAAGCGUGGGGAGCAAACAGG